GCUUGCCUGUUGCGACGGUGGGGGUGGCCAGCAGCUUGCCGGCGGCGUGUAUAUAUAGCUAGGACCUUGGGGCGUCGAGAAGCACCCAUCAUCAUCCAGCUGAAACCAUCGGUCGAUCGCUCGCCGGACGCAGCAUCGAUUCUCCUGGCACGCCCACGUCGGAGGUGGUCGACCGAUCGAUAGAUACGUGAUGGAGAACGACAGGAACAACCAGGCGCCGCCACCACCCCCAGGCUACUACCCAUCCGCGGCCGCGGAGCAACGUCAAGCCGGCGGCGGGAAGAAGUCGCGCCGGGGGAGCACCAAAUCCAGGGGCGAGAAGGGAUUCAUCGAGGGAUGCCUAGCGGCGCUGUGCUGCUGCUGGAUCUGCGAGAUGUGCUGCGACUAACCGGCCGGCGAGGCCGCUGCCGGCAAAAGAAGUUGGUGCUAGUGCCUACGAAGAACAUACCCAUACAGAGAGUCGUUUCUUAAUUACAGUGGUUUGUUACUUUGUUGUUUUAGGUUCUGCGGAAAUAACCGAGAACGCGUGCGUGCGUGCGGGUGUGAUGUCCAUGUACCUACCGUGCGUCACACCUAUAAUCAAUUUUAUGGCGCCAAA
Molecule: long non-coding RNA, 598 nt
Organism: Triticum aestivum (bread wheat)
Lineage: Eukaryota; Viridiplantae; Streptophyta; Magnoliopsida; Poales; Poaceae
Exons: 3
Source: RefSeq, a predicted model, not a curated record